GAAACUCGUGCUAAUACCGCAUAAGCCCUACGGGGGAAAGCGGGGGAUCUUCGGACCUCGCGCCAUUGGAUGAGCCCAAGUCGGAUUAGCUUGUUGGUGAGGUAAAGGCUCACCAAGGCUACGAUCCGUAGCUGGUCUGAGAGGACGAUCAGCCACACUGGGACUGAGACACGGCCCAGACUCCUACGGGAGGCAGCAGUGGGGAAUAUUGCACAAUGGGCGCAAGCCUGAUGCAGCAAUGCCGCGUGUGUGAAGAAGGCCUGCGGGUUGUAAAGCACUUUCAAUAGGGAAGAAAAGCUUAGGGUUAAUAACCUUGAGUCUUGACAUUAUCUAUACAAGAAGCACCGGCUAACUCCGUGCCAGCAGCCGCGGUAAUACGGAGGGUGCGAGCGUUAAUCGGAAUUACUGGGCGUAAAGCGCGCGUAGGUGGUAAGGUCAGUCGGAUGUGAAAGCCCCGGGCUUACCUGGGAACUGCAUUCGAUACUGCUUUGCUAGAGUAUGGUAGAGGGAAGUGGAAUUCCGGGUGUAGCGGUGAAAUGCGUA
This 543-nucleotide ribosomal RNA is filed under the name uncultured bacterium. Its description in RNAcentral is "bacterial SSU rRNA". It matches the Rfam family "Bacterial small subunit ribosomal RNA", at positions 153 to 692 of the family's 1533-position model. The record is from RNAcentral.